Molecule: ribosomal RNA, 468 nt
Filed under: uncultured bacterium
Lineage: Bacteria
Description: partial 16S ribosomal RNA
Rfam family: Bacterial small subunit ribosomal RNA
Source: RNAcentral
GACGAACGCUGGCGGCGUGCUUAACACAUGCAAGUCGAACGGAAAGGCCCAGCUUUUGUGGGGUGCUCGAGUGGCGAACGGGUGAGUAACACGUGAGUAACCUGCCCUUGACUUUGGGAUAACUUCAGGAAACUGGGGCUAAUACCGGAUAGGAGCUCCUGCUGCAUGGUGGGGGUUGGAGAGUUUCGGCGGGUGGGGAUGGACUCGCGGCUUAUCAGCUUGUUGGUGGGGUAGUGGCUUACCAAGGCUUUGACGGGUAGCCGGCCUGAGAGGGUGACCGGCCACAUUGGGACUGAGAUACGGCCCAGACUCCUACGGGAGGCAGCAGUGGGGAAUAUUGCACAAUGGGCGGAAGCCUGAUGCAGCAACGCCGCGUGCGGGAUGACGGCCUUCGGGUUGUAAACCGCUUUCGCCUGUGACGAAGCGUGAGUGACGGUAAUGGGUAAAGAAGCACCGGCUAACUACGUG